This is a long non-coding RNA of Oreochromis aureus, 1420 nucleotides long. RefSeq lists it as uncharacterized. The transcript is spliced from 4 exons. Lineage: Eukaryota; Metazoa; Chordata; Actinopteri; Cichliformes; Cichlidae. The record is from RefSeq and is a predicted model, not a curated record.
CCAGCAUCACUCUGCGGUGGAAUAAAGUCAACAGCAAUGUCAGCUUUGUUCUCCAGUUUAAUGGUACCGAGACAAGCAUCAGUGCACCAGUUGGAAAUGGACCAGUGAAUCAAACAGUCUCAUCUCUCACUGCUGGAACUCAAUACACAUUCACUCUCUACUCUGUGUUUGAGAACGUCAGAAGCAGUGGAGUCAGCAUUACUGCAGUCACUGGGCCUGACUUUAUCAUCAGACUGAACGUGAGACUGAAGUCAUUUCCUCAGCUGUCAGACUCAGAAAUUCAGGAUACACUGGAGGAGUUCUUCAGAAAAAAUGGAUUAUUGCCACAGUUUUUUUCCCUGAAGGUCCGGAAGGUUAAACCAUGACACGAGAAGAGAAAAGAAGUGAUUGAAUGGAAGUGAACAGAUCUGUGCAGCAAAGAAGAAAAGAACGUUUCUUAAGUGCUUUUCAUGUUUAUUACUUUCCUCAAAAAGGAACUAAAACAAAUUAAUUGUUUAAUUAAUAAAUACAUAAAUAAAAGUAGAUUUUUUUUGCUCUUUAUUCUGUGUUCUUUAACAGUAAAAGAGAUCAUUCAAUAAUAGCUAUGUGAAGUUUUGCUUGCAAGUAUUAUAACUGUGUUGAUGCAAAUAAACAAAAUUCUGUAGGGAUUUAUAGUACAACACUAUAUUUCAAAACCUAUUGUCAUGUGUCCUGUGUGGCAGGCAGGAUAUAGGACCCAAUUGCAGGACUCACGAAACAGAAUGAACUUAAAGCGUUUAUUGCUGGGAGACUUUCCGUAAAAAGUAAACUUCACAAAAAAAAUAACCAAAACCUCAAACAUUAAACCAGAAACUAACCUGGACACUUGAGUCUAGAAACUAGGGAUAGCUUGCUUGAAGCUGACACUCUGGAGCGUGUGUCACAAAAAAACAACACACUGCGUCAGAAGCACUGACGCACUGACGUUAGAACGUAACUCUUCGGCACCUGGUUCAAUGGUUUAUAAGGAAGUAAAUCAUGCAUGGGAUUUGUGGAGUGUUUUGAUGGUGAGAGAUAGCAAACCACUGAUCAUUCUAUUGAGAGAUAUGGAGCCAGCAAGGAGGAAAGGGGGUUCUGUCAUAUGGGAGUAUUUUGAGUUGAUUUUGGUCAAUCGGGUGGGUUUGCCAGCUUUGUGUUCUUGUUGUUUGCCUUUGUUUUGGGUGUUAUUUUAUUUUUAAAACAAUCUUAAAAUGUUAUUCUAUAAAAUGUGCAGCAAUUGAAUUUGUUUAUUCUGUGGGACCCAGGAAGACCAUAUACCUGCAUCUCUACCAGUUUCUGUGCACGCCAGCCUCUUCUGUUCCAUGUGAGCGGAUUUUCUCUAAGGCAGGAGAAAUUAUCUCCAAAAGCAACAGACUCGGCCAUUGCACAGUGGAACAAAUUAUCUUCUUAAAAUAAAAGCCAA